CACUAUCUCAAAGGUAGCUUUUUUAAAACAAUGUUUGUUCUUGUAUGAUUUUAUUCAAGCGAUACAUAGAGAUAUAACUCAAGUUAUGCUUAACUACAAUCAAUAAUUGCCCGCCAUUGGGUCAUGUCGUGUUCAAGCGGGUUACAUUCUUCCCUUCGCUGUGCAUUUCAUCUGAUGGUGAUAACUGCAACAAUACUAUGGUUUGCUAUGCCAUUCAUUCCAUUGAACCCAGAUUACCCACCCCAAAGCUGAAAAACCAGUUUGUAGCUUGAUUGGAGAAUAUGAUUCUCAUGUGUAUUGCUGCCUUGUUAUGUAGGGAUAUGGAAUGCCCUCAGGAUGGUACUAUCUCAUAAGCCUCUGAAAUAUAUUAAUUACAAAAAAAAAAAGAAAACGCCAUUUCUGAACUCAAAUUUCAGCAGGAAGGAAUAAUGAACUAAAAUUUCGAUAGGAAUUUUUAUGGUUUUAUCCAAAAAACUAAAUUUCCAAAGCAAAGUUAGGAUUUUUUUGGUGAUUUACAGUCUAUAAAUCGAAGAAAUUGUUUGUUACUCACCGAUUUCGGUGCCCUAAUCCUGAGUCAUCUUGGGUUGGGUUUUUCUCAGCAUGCUGCCUCCUUGAGAUGCCAGCAGCCACAACAAGCUCACUAGAGCGAAUGAGGAGGGAGAGGGACUGAAAUUUAGAGAGAGGACACAAACAUUUGUAGUCGCCUGGAGAAACGAUGGCGAGCGAGAGAGGGGGAGCUUCUCAGUGACGCUCUCAGGUUUGCAGAGCAUGCAAGAGGGGGUAUGGCUGAAAAUUUGUUUGGG
RNAcentral lists this long non-coding RNA (803 nucleotides) under Amborella trichopoda. RNAcentral describes it as "long non-coding RNA (ATRI_LNC003424)". The record is from RNAcentral. Lineage: Eukaryota; Viridiplantae; Streptophyta; Magnoliopsida; Amborellales; Amborellaceae.